UCCCCCUACUGGAAGCACAAAGGAGAUUUUUCUCCAGUAUAUACUGUGGGAGUCUGGUUGAGCUCCUGGAGGUGAAUCUCACAGUAUUGUUGGGUUGGGGAGGUCCCCCUUUGAUUGAGUCCACCUGGGGAGUUUUUAACUCUUAGCGUUGUCCUCAUUGAGCCUCCAACAAUUCAUCAACUUUAGUUCUGGGUUUUCUUCCCGGCGCUGGUUCCUGCAGUGGUAUCGGCUCCUGAUUCUCUGCUCAGAAUCUCCGAAACUUGAAAAUACCAAUUGAGAACUGAAAAUCUGAAGAUUUAUAGAGGAAGAAGAUUGGCCCUGAGCUAUCAUCCAUGCCCAUCUUCCUCUAUUUUAUAUGUGGGACUCCUGCCAUAGCAUUGUUUGGUAAGCGGUGCAUAGGUCCAUACCUGGGAUCCAAACCGGUGAACUUCAGGCCUCCGAAGCAGAGUACAAGAACUUAACCUCUAUGCCACCAGUAAGGAAGAAGCUCUAAGUCUUGAAGACUAAGAAUUAUGAGAAUUUGGAGCAACUUCCCUCAAGACAGGAACAUUUCAUGCAAGACAGAGAAGGACAUAGGAUUCAGAAUCUGACCAGAAGUGCAGACCCCUGCCUGUGUCCCACAAUUGCUACAGAUUGUGGUGAUUUUGCUCCAAUGACUAGUAUCAGCUGUGAAGAAUGGAAUUGUAAUUGUAUAUUUUAAACUGUAAAGGCUACAUUCAUAUAAUACCUCAUUUGAAGAUUUUGAAAAAUAUUUGCUACCACACAAAGAGGAUGAAAAUGGGAACUGGAAAAUAGUCUCCAUCAAUUAAAUCUGGUAAAUAGUUGUAUGCUUUUAUAUAGUGGACAUUUUCAGAAUUAAGUUGAUAAAAUGCCCCCAGCAUGGAAAACAUGAUAGCCAUUGCUAGCUAUGGUAUACAGGAAUGACUUUCUCUGUAUUUCUUCAAUGUCAAAUGUUAUUUGAAUUUAAAAUUUUGCUUUAAAUAAGCUUGAUAUGGAUAUCAAAUAAGCAAAUGUAAAUGUAUCUGAGACUCCAGUCUGUCUUUGUUUAGAAAAACUAGCUAUUUCCCGCCUAUAUUUUAUAAUUAUCACUAAUGUCAGUUACACAACCAGGAUGAGAACUAGACAAACACACAAAUGUGCAGUUCAGUUAAACUUCACAAUAUUAUCACAUUGCAAUUCAAUCAUGACACCAGUGUUCUUUUGCAAACUUAACACAUACACACAAACACACACACACACUCAGAAACAUAUAGGCACAUAUUGCGUUAAAAUUGUAUUGAAAAGAAAUACCAUGUUUUUAGCAAAACCAGGAAUCCAAAUACUAUUUACUUCAUUUAAGACAUAUUUUACGUCAACCUAUUGAACCUCUCCAUCACCCAAGCUACUCGUUCAUAACGGAAGCAGG
RNAcentral lists this long non-coding RNA (1405 nucleotides) under Equus caballus (horse). Its description in RNAcentral is "lncRNA (ENSECAG00000053792.1)". Lineage: Eukaryota; Metazoa; Chordata; Mammalia; Perissodactyla; Equidae. The record is from RNAcentral.